AACGCGAAGAACCUUACCUGGUCUUGACAUCCCAGGAACCCUGUAGAGAUACGGUGUCCUUCGGGGUCCUAAACAGGUGGUGCAUGGCUGUCGUCAGCUCGUGUCGUGAGAUGUUGGGUUAAGUCCCGCAACGAGCGCAACCCUUGUCCUAUGUUGCCAGCGGGUAAUGCCGGGGACUCGUAGGAGACUGCCGGGGUCAACUCGGAGGAAGGUGGGGAUGACGUCAAGUCAUCAUGCCCCUUACGUCCAGGGCUGCACACAUGCUACAAUGGCCGGUACAACGGGCUGCUAUCCCGCGAGGGGGAGCCAAUCCCAAAAGCCGGUCUCAGUUCGGAUUGGAGUCUGCAACUCGACUCCAUGAAGUCGGAGUCGCUAGUAAUCCCGGAUCAGCAACGCCGGGGUGAAUACGUUCCCGGGCCUUGUACACACCGCAUAC
RNAcentral lists this ribosomal RNA (436 nucleotides) under uncultured bacterium. RNAcentral describes it as "bacterial SSU rRNA". It matches the Rfam family "Bacterial small subunit ribosomal RNA", at positions 958 to 1397 of the family's 1533-position model. The record is from RNAcentral.